AUUAUUGAAAUAUUAUAUAUAUAUAUAUAUAUAAAUAAAGUAUUUAAAUAAAAAAAAAAAUUUUAUUUGGAAUAAAUUUAGUAUAUUUUUAAAAAAAAUUAAUUUAAGAUUAAAGUAAUGAAAAUGAAAUUUAUUAAAUAUUAAAAAGAAAAAUUAAUUUUAUAUACCUUUUGUAUCAGGGUUGAUUAAAAUUUAAUUUUAUUAUUUUAUCUCGAUUUAAUAAGAUUUAAAUAUUUAAUUUAUUUAAUGUUUAAAAAUUAUUUUAAAUAAAUAUUUAGAAGAGAAAUUUUAUUCGAUUAUUAAUAUAUCUAGUUUUUUAAUAAAUGAAUUUAAUUCAGAUAAUUUAUUAAUAUUAAUUUAAUUAUAUAAUAAUUAAUUAUUAAGAUUUUUAGGGUUAAUCUUAAAAAUUAUGUUAUAAUUUAAAUUUAUAUUUAUAAAUAAUUUAAUUAAAAAUAUUAAUUUAUAAAAAAAGUGUUAUAAUUUAUUAAUAUAAAAAUAAAAUUUAAUUAAAAUUUAAUAAUUUAUUAAAAUGAUUUUUAUAAUUAGAUUAAAAUUUAAAUAAUGAUUAAAUUAGUAUAAAAUUUAUUUAAAAUAUUAAUUAAAUAUUAAAAUUAUAAUUUAAGAAUUAGGCAAAUUUAAUUUAAUUAUAAUAUAUUCACCUGUUUAACAAAAACAUGGUUUUAUGAUUUUAAUUUAAAAUUUAACCUGCUCAAUGAAAUUUAAAUAGCUGCAGUAUAUUGACUGUACAAAGGUAGCAUAAUCAAUAGUUUUUUAAUUGAAAGCUUGAAUGAAUGGUUUGAUGAGAUAUAAACUUUUUUAAUUAUAAAUUUAAAAUUUUUUUAUUAGUUAAAAAACUAAUAUAUUUUUAAAAGACGAGAAGACCCUAUAGAAUUUUAUUAAUUUAAUAUUAAAAUAAAUAUAUUAAUUAAAAUUAAUAUUAAAUUAAUUUAAUUGGGAUGAUUAUUAAAUUUAAAAAACUUUAAUUAAUUAAACUUAUAUGAAAGAAUUUAUGAUCUUUAAUUUAAAAUUAAAAGAAUAAAUUACCUUAGGGAUAACAGUAUAAUUUUUUUGGAGAGAUCAUAUUGAUAAAAAAGAUUAUAACCUCGAUGUUGAAUUAAGAUAAAAUUUAAAAGCAAAAUUUUAAAAUUUUUGGUCUGUUCGACCAUUAAAAUCUUACAUGAUUUGAGUUCAGAUCGGUGUGAGCCAGAUCGGUUUCUAUCUUUAAAUAAAAUAAAAUUAUUUGUACGAAAGGACUUUUAUUUUUAAAUAAUUUAUAUUAUUGAAUAAAUUUAAUUAAAUUAAUUUGACAGAAAAUUGUAAUAAAUUUAGAAUUUAUUUAUGUAUUAAGGAAUACAAUUA
This 1359-nucleotide ribosomal RNA is filed under the name Ichneumonidae sp. MT-2014. RNAcentral describes it as "16S ribosomal RNA". Lineage: Eukaryota; Metazoa; Arthropoda; Insecta; Hymenoptera; Ichneumonidae. The record is from RNAcentral.